UACGUAGGGGGCAAGCGUUGUCCGGAUUUAUUGGGCGUAAAGAGCGUGUAGGCGGCCAUGCAGGUCCGUUGUGAAAACUCGAGGCUCAACCUCGAGACGUCGAUGGAAACCUCAUGGCUAGAGUCCGGAAGAGGAGAGCGGAAUUCCUGGUGUAGCGGUGAAAUGCGCAGAUAUCAGGAAGAACACCCGUGGCGAAGGCGGCUCUCUGGGACGGUACUGACGCUGAGACGCGAAAGCGUGGGGAGCAAACAGG
Molecule: ribosomal RNA, 253 nt
Filed under: uncultured bacterium
Lineage: Bacteria
Description: partial 16S ribosomal RNA
Rfam family: Bacterial small subunit ribosomal RNA
Source: RNAcentral